UACAGAGGGUGCGAGCGUUAAUCGGAAUCACUGGGCUUAAAGGGCGCGUAGGCGGGCCCGCCAGUCUGUGGUGAAAUCCUCCGGCUCAACCGGAGAACUGCCUCGGAUACUGCGGGUCUCGAGGGUGAUAGGGGUAUGCGGAACUAUCGGUGGAGCGGUGAAAUGCGUUGAUAUCGAUAGGAACUCCGGUGGCGAAGGCGGCAUACUGGAUCACUUCUGACGCUGAGGCGCGAAAGCCAGGGGAGCAAACGGG
This 253-nucleotide ribosomal RNA is filed under the name uncultured bacterium. RNAcentral describes it as "partial 16S ribosomal RNA". It matches the Rfam family "Bacterial small subunit ribosomal RNA", at positions 524 to 776 of the family's 1533-position model. The record is from RNAcentral.